RNAcentral lists this ribosomal RNA (227 nucleotides) under uncultured Bacteroidaceae bacterium. Its description in RNAcentral is "partial 16S ribosomal RNA". It matches the Rfam family "Bacterial small subunit ribosomal RNA", at positions 383 to 607 of the family's 1533-position model. The record is from RNAcentral. Lineage: Bacteria; Pseudomonadati; Bacteroidota; Bacteroidia; Bacteroidales; Bacteroidaceae.
CUGAACCAGCCAAGUAGCGUGAAGGAUGAAGGCUCUAUGGGUCGUAAACUUCUUUUAUAUAAGAAUAAAGUGCAGUAUGUAUACUGUUUUGUAUGUAUUAUAUGAAUAAGGAUCGGCUAACUCCGUGACAGCAGCCGCGGUAAUACGGAGGAUCCGAGCGUUAUCCGGAUUUAUUGGGUUUAAAGGGAGCGUAGGUGGACUGGUAAGUCAGUUGUGAAAGUUUGCGG